AAGAACUAACCAGGAUUCCCUUGGUAACGGCGAGUGAAGAGGGAAGAGCCCAGCACCGAAGCCUGCGGUAGUUUUGCUGUUAGGCAAUGUGGUGUGUGGGUCGGCUCGCGGGACCAUCACUCCACUCGAAGUCCAGCAUUGAGUAUGGCAAUCACUGGAUUUGGCCCAUAGAGGGUGAGAGGCCCGUACGGGUGGAGGUUCAGACAUGUACGAUGGUUCACCAGGCCGGCCUCAGAGUCGGGUUGUUUGAGAUUGCAGCCCAAAGAGGGUGGUAAACUCCAUCCAAGGCUAAAUACUGCCACGAGUCCGAUAGCGAACAAGUACCAUGAGGGAAAGUUGAAAAGUACUCUGAAGAGAGAGUAAACAGUACGUGAAGCCGCAUGCAGGUAAACGGGUGGCGUCAAGCUGCGAGCCCGGAGGAUUCAGCUGACUGGGAUGUAGUGCACGCGCGCCUGGUGCGUCGAGAGGCCGGAGUAAGAUGUGGCGGUCCACUCCUCUGCUGGGAGUGGAGUGCGGUCGGUGUGCGCUUGCGUAUGCCGGUUGUCGCUAUGCAUGCCGGGUGGGUGCCGGAGCAUGCCGCUCGUCUGUUGGGCCACCUAGUUAGUGCAUUUUCUCCGUGGUGAACACCACGACCGGUGGAACUGCCAGUCUGCUGUGAUCAAGUCGUGUUCUCCUGGCGCGUUGCUGUGUUGGGUGGGCACGAUCGCAGACGGAGUCGGUGGACGGCGCAGUGGUGCUUCGGUACUGCCGCGUGUUAUCGUGCACUCUCCGUCGUAAGCGGUUAGUGGGGUUGACUAAGUGCUGUGACCUACUUUCCCGCUAGCCGGCGGAUCACAGUGGUGAAAGGGACUGUGCAGGGCACCGGAGUUGUCCAUCUCAUUCAAUAUGGUACUCGGCACGCACGUUACAGGUGUUAUAUACAAUCGGGAUGCGCCGCUGUCUGCCUGGUGUUGGGCCUGACUGUCGUGUUGCCUGCGAAAAGUGGGUCCGGCAGUGGUUUCGAUGCUUGGUAGUCGCAGUGUGUUGCGUAUCUCGGGUGUCUGUGGUACCGGGGAUGAAAUAGUCAGUGGUGCUGUGG
This 1078-nucleotide ribosomal RNA is filed under the name Kontrimavichusia asymmetrica. Its description in RNAcentral is "partial large subunit ribosomal RNA". It matches the Rfam family "Eukaryotic large subunit ribosomal RNA", at positions 60 to 627 of the family's 3401-position model. The record is from RNAcentral. Lineage: Eukaryota; Metazoa; Platyhelminthes; Cestoda; Cyclophyllidea; Hymenolepididae.